AGCUCAGACACCUUCCCUCUCUCCUACCCCUCUGCUAUUCACCAGCCCAGCGGGCUGGGCCCUGGCACUUGGCCCUCACCCCCACCCCCAUCCCGACCCUGUCUUUCCAGGCUCUUGGGAGAGCUUCAGGCAUUUCAUCUCAACGUCCUGAGAGGCGGACCCUCCGGUCCCAUUGUACAGACAGAAAAGACAUCUUUCAGGAACUGGGCGGCGGCCAUGCAGCCACCAGCCCCGCGGGAGCCGGGGACUGCUGCCCAGAGCCCAAGCACGUGGGCCACCACUGCUCACCUGCCCCCUUCCUCCACCAGCAAGACUGCCCUGUGGGGCCCCACGAGGGGCAGGUGCUGCUGUCCCCUUGAGAGACAGAACGGGAAGGAGAAAGACGGAAGCCACUCUGCAGCCUGCAAGGGCUCCCCAGGUUCUCAGUGUCAACCUGUCGGUUAAUCUUUCUGUUCUGAUGACUGUUGAGCAGCCACUUCAGGGCGUCCUUCCUUUAGCACCUGUGUGGCCUGGAUUACAGGAAGGAUCUCCAUUGCCCUGGCCGAGUGACUUUUUGCCCGUUUGUAUGGAUUUGUGGGAGAUCCAGUGAAAGAACUCUCUGGAGCAAUUACCAGGGCAAACCCUAUUCUCUGCUCUGUUCUGCGCACCCAACGGAGUGUGCUUCCUUACACGGAAGCUGCCUCUGCUGGCUCUUCCCCUGCCACCUGCCCCACAAGAGGACCAAAGGCUGAAUCAACACUGCAGAAGGAAGU
Suricata suricatta (meerkat) is the source of this 752-nucleotide long non-coding RNA. RefSeq lists it as uncharacterized. The record is from RefSeq and is a predicted model, not a curated record. NCBI's taxonomy places the organism in Eukaryota, Metazoa, Chordata, Mammalia, Carnivora, Herpestidae. The transcript is spliced from 3 exons.